Molecule: ribosomal RNA, 466 nt
Filed under: uncultured bacterium
Lineage: Bacteria
Description: partial 16S ribosomal RNA
Rfam family: Bacterial small subunit ribosomal RNA
Source: RNAcentral
GACGAACGCUGGCGGCGCGCCUAACACAUGCAAGUCGAACGAGCGAGAGGGAGCUUGCUUUCUCAAGCGAGUGGCGAACGGGUGAGUAACGCGUGAGGAACCUGCCUCAAAGAGGGGGACAACAGUUGGAAACGACUGCUAAUACCGCAUAAGCCCACGACCCGGCAUCGGGUAGAGGGAAAAGGAGCAAUCCGCUUUGAGAUGGCCUCGCGUCCGAUUAGCUAGUUGGUGAGGUAACGGCCCACCAAGGCGACGAUCGGUAGCCGGACUGAGAGGUUGAACGGCCACAUUGGGACUGAGACACGGCCCAGACUCCUACGGGAGGCAGCAGUGGGGAAUAUUGCACAAUGGGGGAAACCCUGAUGCAGCGACGCCGCGUGGAGGAAGAAGGUCUUCGGAUUGUAAACUCCUGUUGUUGAGGAAGAUAAUGACGGUACUCAACAAGGAAGUGACGGCUAACUACGUG